CUCAGACAACUAUCAUGUAAAGAAUCAGACUGAGUUAGUCUACGGUGAGCAGAACGUACAGAAUGAGAACGCUGAUCAAAUAGAACAUAAAGUCCAUCUACCUCUGGAAUUUUCAGGUUGUAUAGGGGCAGACCCUGUGUUGGUCACCUGGUCCUUAGUGUUGCCUGAGACUGGCAGUGAAGACGGCUCAACUUGAGGGCCCAAUAUUAGCUGAGCACACUGCUCCCCAGCAUGAAGACUACCUAUCCUAGCCUUCCCUGAAGCUUCAUGUGACCUUGUGACUAACUUCAAACCAAAGGCAUAAAAUAGAACUGGUUUUCUAUAGAGAAGACAAGGCAGCCAUCAGCAAAACAAGACUCACAUCUCCCUGCCUCAGUAACCACAGUGGAAGGCAUAUACCAGCCCAAAGGUACGUUGCCCGGGAAGCUGGGGAAGAAAACUGACCACAAGUCAUCAUCAGGGUCAAGCUGAAGGUUGGCAAUAACAGUAAAGAUCCAGUACUGACAAAAGAAAGGAAGCACUGCAGCGUUUGGUUUGGAAAAUGGUGCACGUGUGCGUGCCUGCGAGCUCAUGUGUGUGCAAGUUCCAUUCUUGGGUUGCACUGAAGAGUUGGGUCAGAACCUUAGCAUGACUUUAGAACAUGGGCAUCAACAGUGAAUGACUGUAAUAACAACCCACUUCAGUGGUGUGGAUGUUAGCCAGUAGACCUACACCUGUGACUUUGAGCCAAGACUUGAGGUGAAUCCUAGGUCUGGACUUGUCAGGAGGCCUAGCUAGGCCUUCAGCAGAUAGAGUCUUACUGCAGAAUGAUAUCACACUAACAAUGAGACUUACUGGAAAAACAAA
Canis lupus familiaris (dog) is the source of this 846-nucleotide long non-coding RNA. RefSeq lists it as uncharacterized. NCBI's taxonomy places the organism in Eukaryota, Metazoa, Chordata, Mammalia, Carnivora, Canidae. The transcript has 5 exons. The record is from RefSeq and is a predicted model, not a curated record.